GACGAACGCUAGCGGCAGGCCUAACACAUGCAAGUCGAGGGGUAACAGGGACUUCGGUCCGCUGACGACCGGCGCACGGGUGCGUAACGCGUAUACAACUUACCUUUGAGAGUGGGAUAGCCCAGAGAAAUUUGGAUUAAUACCACAUGGUCUUCUAAGGUCACCUGGCCUAAGGAGUAAAAGUUUUUCGCUCAAAGAUGGGUAUGCGUAUGAUUAGCUAGUUGGUGAGGUAAUGGCUCACCAAGGCAUCGAUCAUUAGCUGGUCUGAGAGGAUGAUCAGCCACACGGGAACUGAGACACGGUCCCGACUCCUACGGGAGGCAGCAGUGAGGAAUAUUGGACAAUGGGGGCAACCCUGAUCCAGCCAUGCCGCGUGCAGGAUGACGGCCCUCUGGGUUGUAAACUGCUUUUAUAUGGGACUAAUAAAAGACUAUACGUCUUGAUGCAUGUACCAUUUGAAUAAGCACCGGCUAACUACG
This 479-nucleotide ribosomal RNA is filed under the name uncultured Flavobacteriaceae bacterium. RNAcentral describes it as "bacterial SSU rRNA". It matches the Rfam family "Bacterial small subunit ribosomal RNA", at positions 28 to 505 of the family's 1533-position model. The record is from RNAcentral. Lineage: Bacteria; Pseudomonadati; Bacteroidota; Flavobacteriia; Flavobacteriales; Flavobacteriaceae.